AGGACGAACGCUGGCGGCGUGCUUAACACAUGCAAGUCGAACGGAAAGGCCCUUUCGGGGUACUCGAGUGGCGAACGGGUGAGUAACACGUGGGUGAUCUGCCCUGCACUUCGGGAUAAGCCUGGGGAAACUGGGUCUAAUACCGGAUAUGACUACGAAUCGCAUGGUUUGUGGUGGAAAGCUUUUGCGGUGUGGGAUGGGCCCGCGGGCCUAUCAGCUUGUUGGUGAGGUAACGGCUCACCAAGGCGACGACGGGUA
This 258-nucleotide ribosomal RNA is filed under the name uncultured bacterium. RNAcentral describes it as "partial small subunit ribosomal RNA". It matches the Rfam family "Bacterial small subunit ribosomal RNA", at positions 26 to 285 of the family's 1533-position model. The record is from RNAcentral.